GACGAACGCUGGCGGCGUGCCUAAUACAUGCAAGUCGAGCGAGCUUGCCUAGAUGAUUUUAGUGCUUGCACUAAAUGAAACUAGAUACGAGCGAGCGGCGGACGGGUGAGUAACACGUGGGUAACCUGCCCAAGAGACUGGGAUAACACCUGGAAACAGAUGCUAAUACCGCAUAACAACAAAAGCCACAUGGCUUUUGUUUGAAAGAUGGCUUUGGCUAUCACUCUGGGAUGGACCUGCGGUGCAUUAGCUAGUUGGUAAGGUAACGGCUUACCAAGGCGAUGAUGCAUAGCCGAGUUGAGAGACUGAUCGGCCACAAUGGAACUGAGACACGGUCCAU
RNAcentral lists this ribosomal RNA (340 nucleotides) under uncultured bacterium. Its description in RNAcentral is "bacterial SSU rRNA". It matches the Rfam family "Bacterial small subunit ribosomal RNA", at positions 28 to 334 of the family's 1533-position model. The record is from RNAcentral.